GUGCCAGCAGCCGCGGUAAUACGGAGGGGGCUAGCGUUGCUCGGAAUUACUGGGCGUAAAGCGCACGUAGGCGGAUCAGAAAGUUGGGGGUGAAAUCCCGGGGCUCAACCUCGGAACUGCCUUCAAAACUAUUGGUCUUGAGUUCGAGAGAGGUGAGUGGAAUUCCGAGUGUAGAGGUGAAAUUCGUAGAUAUUCGGAGGAACACCAGUGGCGAAGGCGGCUCACUGGCUCGAUACUGACGCUGAGGUGCGAAAGCGUGGGGAGCAAAC
RNAcentral lists this ribosomal RNA (269 nucleotides) under uncultured Rhodobacterales bacterium. Its description in RNAcentral is "partial 16S ribosomal RNA". It matches the Rfam family "Bacterial small subunit ribosomal RNA", at positions 505 to 773 of the family's 1533-position model. Lineage: Bacteria; Pseudomonadati; Pseudomonadota; Alphaproteobacteria; Rhodobacterales. The record is from RNAcentral.